GGCCUGAUGGUCUAGUCGUAUGAUUCCUGCUUUGUAAGUGUCUCCACAACCACAACACAGAAGUCGAGUUUACUAAUUGCGAGUAGGGGUAUUAAUAGCUUGAAUGCAGGAGGUCCAGGGUUCAAUUCCCUGUCAGGCCC
Molecule: non-coding RNA, 140 nt
Organism: Neocucurbitaria cava
Lineage: Eukaryota; Fungi; Ascomycota; Dothideomycetes; Pleosporales; Cucurbitariaceae
Source: the annotation of a GenBank genome assembly